This 465-nucleotide ribosomal RNA is filed under the name uncultured bacterium. Its description in RNAcentral is "partial 16S ribosomal RNA". It matches the Rfam family "Bacterial small subunit ribosomal RNA", at positions 28 to 507 of the family's 1533-position model. The record is from RNAcentral.
GACGAACGCUGGCGGCGUGCCUAACACAUGCAAGUCGAGCGAAAAGGCCAGCUUGUGGCGUAUUCGAGUGGCGCACCGGAGGGUAAAACAAGACUAACCUACCCUAGACUUUGGGAUAACUUCAGGUAACGGGAGCUAAUCCCGUAUCGGAUAUCCUGCUGCAUGGCGGGGGUUGGAAGGGAUCGGCGGUUGGGGAUGGACUCAUGGCUUAUCCGCCUGUUGGUGGGGUAGUUGCUCACCAAGGCGUUGACGGGUAGCCGGCCUGAGAGGGUGACCGGCCACAAUGGUACUGAGAUACGGCCCAGACUCCUACGGGAGGCAGCAGUGGGGAGUAUUGCAGAAUGGGCGGAAGCCUGAUGCAGCAACGCCGCGUGCGGGAUGACGGGCUUCGGGUUGUAAACCGCUGUCGCAGGUGACGAAGCGUGAGUGACGGUAAUGGGUAAGGAAGCACCGGCUAACUACGUG